CCCUCGCGGUCCGAGUUGUAAUUUGCAGAGGAUGCUUUUGGUGCGGUGCCUUCCGAGUUCCCUGGAACGGGACGCCAGAGAGGGUGAGAGCCCCGUACGGUUGGACACCUACCCUAUAUAUAGCUCCUUCGACGAGUCGAGUAGUUUGGGAAUGCUGCUCUAAAUGGGAGGUAAAUUUCUUCUAAAGCUAAAUACCGGCCAGAGACCGAUAGCGCACAAGUAGAGUGAUCGAAAGAUGAAAAGCACUUUGAAAAGAGGGUUAAAUAGCACGUGAAAUUGUUGAAAGGGAAGCGUUUGCGACCAGACUUUUUCCAGGCGGAUCAUCCGGUGUUCUCACCGGUGCACUUCGCCUGGUUUAGGCCAGCAUCGGUUUCCUUAGGGGGAUAAAGGCCUGGGGAACGUAGCUCUCUAGGGAGUGUUAUAGCCCCUCGCGUAAUACCCCUCGGGGGACCGAGGACCGCGCUCUGCAAGGAUGCUGGCGUAAUGGUCGUCAACGACCCGUCUUGAAACACGGACCAAGGAGUCGAACAUUUGUGCGAGUGUUUGGGUGUUAAACCCUCACGCGUAAUGAAAGUGAACGGAGGUGAGAGCCCUUUAGGGUGCAUCAUCGACCGAUCCUGAUGUCUUCGGAUGGAUUUGAGUAAGAGCAUAACUGUUCGGACCCGAAAGAUGGUGAACUAUGCGUGGAUAGGGUGAAGCCAGAGGAAACUCUGGUGGAGGCUCGCAGCGGUUCUGACGUGCAAAUCGAUCGUCAAAUCUGCGCAUGGGGGCGAAAGUACGUAUCCAAUUAUUAUUAUCCAACUACCCUAUAAACUACCCCAGCUCGAAAACCUAGGCUAUUGCAGCCAUCAAAAUCCCCUAUCAAAAUCCCCAAAAACUGCCCAGCUCGAAAACUUAGGCUAUUGCAGCCAUCAAAAUCCCCUAAUCGAACCCCCAAAAAAACUUGCCCGGCUAUUGCAGCCAUCAAAAUUCCCCUAUCGAAACCCCCAAAAACUUGCCCAGCUCGAAUAUCUAGGCUAUUGCAGCCAUCAAAUCCCCCGAUCAAAAUACCCAAAACUACCUAAGCUCGAACAUAUAUACUAACGCAGCACCCAACAGGACUUAUCGAACCAUCUAGUAGCUGGUUACCGCCGAAGUUUCCCUCAGGAUAGCAGUGUUGUCUUCAGUUUUAUGAGGUAAAGCGAAUGAUUAGGGACUCGGGGGCGCUAUAUUGCCUUCAUCCAUUCUCAAACUUUAAAUAUGUAAGAAGCCCUUGUUACUUAGUUGAACGUGGGCAUUCGAAUGUACCAACACUAGUGGGCCAUUUUUGGUAAGCAGAACUGGCGAUGCGGGAUGAACCGAACGCGGGGUUAAGGUGCCAGAGUGGACGCUCAUCAGACACCACAAAAGGUGUUAGUACAUCUUGACAGCAGGACGGUGGCCAUGGAAGUCGGAAUCCGCUAAGGACUGUGUAACAACUCACCUGCCGAAUGUACUAGCCCUGAAAAUGGAUGGCGCUCAAGCGUCUCACCCAUACCUCGCCCUUAGGGUAGAAACGAUGCCCUAAGGAGUAGGC
RNAcentral lists this ribosomal RNA (1555 nucleotides) under Annulohypoxylon truncatum. RNAcentral describes it as "partial large subunit ribosomal RNA". It matches the Rfam family "Eukaryotic large subunit ribosomal RNA", at positions 128 to 1386 of the family's 3401-position model. The record is from RNAcentral. Lineage: Eukaryota; Fungi; Ascomycota; Sordariomycetes; Xylariales; Hypoxylaceae.